CGCUGAGUUUGAUCCUGGCUCAGGAUGAACGCUAGCGGCAGGCUUAACACAUGCAAGUCGAGGGGUAUAGUUCUUCGGAACUAGAGACCGGCGCACGGGUGCGUAACGCGUAUGCAAUCUACCUUAUACAGAGGGAUAGCCCAGAGAAAUUUGGAUUAAUACCUCAUAGUAUGUGAGAAUCGCAUGGUUUUCAUAUUAAAGUUCCAACGGUAAAAGAUGAGCAUGCGUCCCAUUAGCUAGAUGGUAAGGUAACGGCUUACCAUGGCGACG
This 270-nucleotide ribosomal RNA is filed under the name uncultured Flavobacterium sp. RNAcentral describes it as "partial 16S ribosomal RNA". It matches the Rfam family "Bacterial small subunit ribosomal RNA", at positions 1 to 278 of the family's 1533-position model. The record is from RNAcentral. Lineage: Bacteria; Pseudomonadati; Bacteroidota; Flavobacteriia; Flavobacteriales; Flavobacteriaceae.